RNAcentral lists this long non-coding RNA (843 nucleotides) under Homo sapiens (human). RNAcentral's name for it is "HSALNT0024175". The record is from RNAcentral. Lineage: Eukaryota; Metazoa; Chordata; Mammalia; Primates; Hominidae.
GGGGCAGGGGGCGGGGGGCGGCCGCCGGGGCAGCGCAGCAGCGCAGCGCCGGUGUUCCCUUCGGAACACCGCGCAAAGUGAUCGAGUGCUUUUCCUCCACUUUCCCUCACUUCGCGCCCCACCCGGCUGUCCCGACCACCCUCAGGAUGUUUUCCUCUGGUGUGCCUCUGGGCCAAAUCGUGCUAAAAAUCAUUUUUUUUCUUUUAUGCAAGGACACUUUGUCACUUGGUUUCCGUCAGUCUCCUGAGAAUGGGGAAUUUAGGUCUAGCGUGGUUCACAGUUCUGGUUUUUUAGGAGUUAUACUUGAAAGCUCAAUGUCGGACACAUAGCAUGAAAUCCGUCACUGGUGCUUUGCAUUUGUCUUGGAAAGGACAUACGCCCCGCCUGUCCCUUUUACUAACUAGGGAGACUGUGAAUAUUCCCAAGCCCAGCACCACGUGCACACGCCGCCAGCUGGCUCGCGCGUUUUCCACGGAGCCCUCUGGAGGGGAGGGAGCGCGGUUCGGACUAGCCUCUCCCGAACACCAAGUGCCGCUCUUAGCCCCGUCCAGCCCGCCCUGUUCAUCGGGGGCCUCGCCGCGCCAGUCGCCCCGGCUGCCUUAUGUAGGUAUGCGCGGCGGGCGCGUGACGUGGGCGCGGGGCCGUGGGCGGCCGCCGCCGCGAGUGCGCACGCUCCGCGCAGACGUGCCUCGGCGCCGCUGGCACUAGGGCCUCGUGGAACGAAUGCACAUUCCAGGGAUCCGGGGUCUACGGCCAGCGCGGCCGCGUCACAGCGCAGGCUCCACCCCCUUCGGCGAGUCUGGGCGUCGAGGCGCCGCCCCCGGGCCCGAACUUGGACUCGAG